This 2228-nucleotide long non-coding RNA is filed under the name Gallus gallus (chicken). The record is from RNAcentral. Lineage: Eukaryota; Metazoa; Chordata; Aves; Galliformes; Phasianidae.
CGGCCUUUCAGAGGCGCGGGGCCGUGAGAUGCGGGGUGGGGCUUGCGCCCUCCCUGGAAUCGGGGCUGGGAUCCCGACUGCGGCCUUUGGCCGUGCCGCCCCGCUGCCUGGCUGCUGAGAGUUGCUCCUGCCGCUGGGGGGGGAAACCGAGCUCUGUGGCUCCAGGGGUGUUGUCCACCCGCCUGUAAUCAGGGUCUGGGUGCGUGAGCGUUUGUGCUCUGCUGGCAGCCUGUGUGGGGUGACCGCCCCGCCAGCGGGGUGUGGGUCGAGGUGCCCCGGACUGGGAGAGAAGGAGCCUCCCUCGGCCGUAGGGAUGGGGGCUGCCCUGUAAGUCAGGGAGCAUCUGUGUCCCGGAGUCCCAGGCCCUUUUCGAUGGCGGCAGUGGCCGGGGGUCCCCUGUAAGCAGGGAAGCUGACUCUUUGGCUGCUGCUUUUUGUGUGCCCAGCCCCAUUUGCCCAGUCUGCCCGCCUCUGUGAUCCCCCGCAGCACUGGCUGGAAGUCCGCCGCGUGUCAGUGAGGAGCUGCUGCAGAAGGAAGAAGAAGAAGCGGCGUGGGGACCUGGGAGGCAGGAGCAAGCAAGAAGAGGAAGCGGAAGCGUGCAGAUGCGGGGGGGAAGGAGAGAGGCUCCCUGGGCAAAGCACCUGUCCCGUUAGCAGGGGCACAGUCACGUUUGAGUUGAGAGCUGCCGGCGCCUUUGGUGACCAGGCUGGCGUUGUGCUGGGCGACCUCCCCGUAAGCGGGGCUCGGGUCUUUGCUGUAGUUGGCCUUUUGCCUUGCUGCUCCUUUGGCUGCCUGGGGAGCGUGGCCCCCUGUAACGGAGGGCGAGAGCCACCUCUCCGCACCUGAGUGGGAAAUGGAGCUCGCCGGACCCCAAGGCCACCCUGUAAGCAGGGUAGUGCCGUUUCCCUGCCCCUCUUCCUCCCCCGGCCCCUCGGCAUCGUUGCCUGAUGGUGGCUUGUCAAUGCGACGGCCCCGUACUCGGGGUGUGCGUCACGGCAUUUGGCCGUUGGCUUUAUCUGAGAAGCCCCUUGGCACGUUGAGGUCUGUGGCCUCCGUGCAGCCUAGGGACAGGUCACAGGCUCUUGUCUGUUGCCCGUGGUUGUGGGUUUAUUCCCAGGUGUUGGCUGUGCUGCGUUGUCCUUCCCUUCUGGAAAGUCGUGCCUGUGUGUGCGUGUUCCCCUUCCUUUCCUUGUUUGUGUUUGUGGAGUGGUUGAGCGGCUGUGCUUUCCCUUUAGGCCUCCACAAAGAUGGCUGCAGCUUAGCUUUGACUUCCCAGGGGGGAAUGGAGGACUUUGGUGCAUGCCGCAAAAGGGGUGUUCCCUCUUAGUCCUGCGAGCGCAGCGAGUGUCCUGUCUUCCUACUAUUUUCCUUAGUGCAGAUCAGAGCCACACGGUAGUUCUGUGGCCAAGGCCUCCCUGUAGCCAGGGCUUGGGCCUGUCCUUGCGUGGCCGCCUGUCCUGCUGGCGGCGGUGACAGCCCCGUACUCGGGGUGUGUGUCCCAAGCUUCGGAGCCCUCUGUCCCUGAGCAGCCCGCCCGCCCUGUAAUCAGGUGUGGGGAGGCUGCAGCGUUGCAGCCGGCUGCUUUAGCCAUCCAGCUGGUGGGAGUGACCCCUCCCUGUCCCGUCAGAGGGUGCAGGUUGAGGUGCUGUUUGUGUGUGGGGUGACCUCCCCGCUCGGUGGGUCGAGGUAGCUCCCUGGGCUUCCAAAGACGAGACGUUGGUGAUGUUCUGCUGCUGCCGGGCGGGCCAGCCUGUAACUCAGGCGUUGGCGGGAGCCUCGUGCUCUGCGGGGCUUCUUGAAGAGGGUGAGGUGUGGGGGUACCGUCCUGUAGGCAGGGCUGUGUGUGCCCCCCGUGUGUGCUUGGUGAGCUGCGUUCUGAGAGACCCCCUGUACUCAGGUGGGAAUGUGGCCCCGGCCUUUCAGAGGCGCGGGGCCGUGAGAUGCGGGGUGGGGCUUGCGCCCUCCCUGGAAUCGGGGCUGGGAUCCCGACUGCGGCCUUUGGCCGUGCCGCCCCGCUGCCUGGCUGCUGAGAGUUGCUCCUGCCGCUGGGGGGAAACCGAGCUCUGUGGCUCCAGGGGUGUUGUCCACCCGCCUGUAAUCAGGGUCUGGGUGCGUGAGCGUUUGUGCUCUGCUGGCAGCCUGUGUGGGGUGACCGCCCCGCUAGCGGGGUGUGGGUCGAGGUGCCCCGGACUGGGAGAGAAGGAGCCUCCCUCGGCCGUAGGGAUGGG